Molecule: ribosomal RNA, 200 nt
Filed under: uncultured bacterium
Lineage: Bacteria
Description: partial 16S ribosomal RNA
Rfam family: Bacterial small subunit ribosomal RNA
Source: RNAcentral
ACGCUCGACACCUACGAGGCAGCAGUCGGGAAUAUUGCGCAAUGGAGGAAACUCUGACGCAGUGACGCCGCGUGCAGGAAGAAGGUUUUCGGAUUGUAAACUGCUUUAGACAGGGAAGAAAGAAAUGACAGUACCUGUAGGAUAAGCUCCGGCUAACUACGUGCCAGAGCCGCGGUAAUCUGAGCGGGCGUGGCGAAGGC